Molecule: long non-coding RNA, 442 nt
Organism: Brassica napus (rape)
Lineage: Eukaryota; Viridiplantae; Streptophyta; Magnoliopsida; Brassicales; Brassicaceae
Exons: 2
Source: RefSeq, a predicted model, not a curated record
AUUGGCUCUCAUGUCCUUAAUCGGUACAGUAAUUAGAGCUUUGCACCUAAAAAUGAUAGUAUUAAUUUUAGGAUGAAAUUAACCCUACUUUCUCAUUGACGAUUCUAGGUGAAGCUGUGUCAGUGUGUUUUGCGCUUGUCGGAAAUAUGUGUCAGAUGGAAAUUCCUUUUCUAGUUUUCUUUCCUCUCGUGAAAGUUGUGUCAGAUCUGAUAAGGAUCAGCUGAUGAACUAUCUUCGGAAGAUUGGGAAGUUGCUGAAGAUCGAAGAUGAAUACAGAGUGAUUACUAGCAAUUUCGUGAUGUUUGUUGAUAUAGAUAACAUUUAUGUUAGUAGCCAUUUUACUUGUUAUCCAAUAUUAUUUCUGUUUAUUAGUGUAUCUUUUGUUUUCUAUCUCCAUUUGAGAUAAAUAGUUUGUUAAUUUUUAUUAUUUAAUUGUCGCUAA